This 443-nucleotide ribosomal RNA is filed under the name uncultured bacterium. RNAcentral describes it as "partial 16S ribosomal RNA". It matches the Rfam family "Bacterial small subunit ribosomal RNA", at positions 338 to 795 of the family's 1533-position model. The record is from RNAcentral.
CCUACGGGUGGCAGCAGUGGGGAAUAUUGCACAAUGGGGGAAACCCUGAUGCAGCGACGCCGCGUGAGUGAAGAAGUAUUUCGGUAUGUAAAGCUCUGUCAGCAGGGAAGAAAGAAAUGACGGUACCUGACCAAGAAGCCCCGGCUAACUACGGGCCAGCAGCCGCGGUAAUACGUAGGGGGCAAGCGUUAACCGGAAUUACUGGGUGUAAAGGGAGCGUAGACGGUUAAGUAAGUCUGGAGUGAAAGGCCGGGGCCUAACCCCGGGACUGCUCUGGAAACUAGUGGACUUGAGUGCAGGAGAGGUAAGCGGAAUGCCUGGUGUAGCGGUGAAAUGCGUAGAUAUUAGGAGGAACACCAGUGGCGAAGGCGGCUUACUGGACUGUAACUGACGCUGAGGCUCGAAAGCGUGGGGAGCAAACAGGAUUAGAUACCCCUGUAGUC